GGCUCAGUGGUGCAGCUGGUAAGCAUGCUCGAUUUAACGUUCAUCCUCCUACAUUUAGAAAAGAGUGUCGAGAGACAGAGGUUCGAACCCUCUCUGAGCUA
This 101-nucleotide transfer RNA is filed under the name Tetrahymena thermophila SB210. Its description in RNAcentral is "Tetrahymena thermophila tRNA-Undet for anticodon ???". It matches the Rfam family "tRNA". From Rfam's summary of the family: Transfer RNA (tRNA) molecules are approximately 80 nucleotides in length. The record is from Rfam by way of RNAcentral. Lineage: Eukaryota; Ciliophora; Oligohymenophorea; Hymenostomatida; Tetrahymenidae.